CAUGCAGUCUACUUGAGGUAACUUCGGUUACCGAGGGUGGCGGACGGGUGAGUAAUGCGUAAAGAACUUGCCCCUUAGUCUGGGACAACUGUUGGAAACGACAGCUAAUACCGGAUAUUAUGAGACCUUGGCAUCAAGGACUUAUGAAAGCUAUAUGCGCUAGGGGAGAGCUUUGCGUCCUAUUAGCUAGUUGGUGAGGUAAUGGCUCACCAAGGCGACGAUAGGUAGCCGGCCUGAGAGGGUGAACGGCCACAAGGGGACUGAGACACGGCCCUUACUCCUACGGGAGGCAGCAGUGGGGAAUAUUGGACAAUGGACCAAAAGUCUGAUCCAGCAAUUCUGUGUGCUUGAUGAAGGCCUUCGGGUUGUAAAGAGCUUUAAGUGGGGAAGAAGAAAGCGACGGUACCCACAGAAUAAGCGACGGCUAAAUACGUGCCAGCAGCCGCGGUAAUACGUAUGUCGCAAGCGUUAUCCGGAAUUAUUGGGCAUAAAGGGCGUCUAGGCGGUUUAGAAAGUCUGAUGUGAAAAUGCGGGGCUCAACUCCGUAUUGCGUUGGA
This 557-nucleotide ribosomal RNA is filed under the name uncultured bacterium. Its description in RNAcentral is "bacterial SSU rRNA". It matches the Rfam family "Bacterial small subunit ribosomal RNA", at positions 54 to 630 of the family's 1533-position model. The record is from RNAcentral.